Molecule: ribosomal RNA, 377 nt
Filed under: uncultured eukaryote
Lineage: Eukaryota
Description: partial 18S ribosomal RNA
Rfam family: Eukaryotic small subunit ribosomal RNA
Source: RNAcentral
CAAUAGCGUAUAUUUAAGUUGCUGCAGUUAAAAAGCUCGUAGUUGGAUUUCGGGUGGGAAUGGCCGGUCCGCCGUUUCGGUGUGCACUUGCUACGCCCACCUUGCUGCCGGGGACGUGCUCUUGAGUUCACGCUCGGGACACGGAGUCGGCGAGGUUACUUUGAGUAAAUUAGAGUGUUCAAAGCAGGCCUACGCUCUGAAUACAUUAGCAUGGAAUAACACGAUAGGACUCUGGCCUAUCUUGUGGGUCUGUAGGACCGGAGUAAUGAUUAAGAGGGACAGUCGGGGGCAUUCGUAUUUCAUUGUCAGAGGUGAAAUUCUUGGAUUUAUGAAAGACGAACUACUGCGAAAGCAUUUGCCAAGGAUGUUUUCAUUAA